This is a non-coding RNA of Ameiurus melas (black bullhead), 73 nucleotides long. The record is from the annotation of a GenBank genome assembly. NCBI's taxonomy places the organism in Eukaryota, Metazoa, Chordata, Actinopteri, Siluriformes, Ictaluridae.
GCAGUAGUAGCUCAACGGUUAAGGCUCUGGAUUAUUGAUCAGCGGGUUUUGGGUUCAAGCCCCACCACCAUCA